Molecule: ribosomal RNA, 1108 nt
Filed under: Salmonella enterica subsp. enterica
Lineage: Bacteria; Pseudomonadati; Pseudomonadota; Gammaproteobacteria; Enterobacterales; Enterobacteriaceae
Description: bacterial SSU rRNA
Rfam family: Bacterial small subunit ribosomal RNA
Source: RNAcentral
UGAAGAGUUUGAUCAUGGCUCAGAUUGAACGCUGGCGGCAGGCCUAACACAUGCAAGUCGAACGGUAACAGGAAGCAGCUUGCUGCUUUGCUGACGAGUGGCGGACGGGUGAGUAAUGUCUGGGAAACUGCCUGAUGGAGGGGGAUAACUACUGGAAACGGUGGCUAAUACCGCAUAACGUCGCAAGACCAAAGAGGGGGACCUUCGGGCCUCUUGCCAUCAGAUGUGCCCAGAUGGGAUUAGCUUGUUGGUGAGGUAACGGCUCACCAAGGCGACGAUCCCUAGCUGGUCUGAGAGGAUGACCAGCCACACUGGAACUGAGACACGGUCCAGACUCCUACGGGAGGCAGCAGUGGGGAAUAUUGCACAAUGGGCGCAAGCCUGAUGCAGCCAUGCCGCGUGUAUGAAGAAGGCCUUCGGGUUGUAAAGUACUUUCAGCGGGGAGGAAGGUGUUGUGGUUAAUAACCGCAGCAAUUGACGUUACCCGCAGAAGAAGCACCGGCUAACUCCGUGCCAGCAGCCGCGGUAAUACGGAGGGUGCAAGCGUUAAUCGGAAUUACUGGGCGUAAAGCGCACGCAGGCGGUCUGUCAAGUCGGAUGUGAAAUCCCCGGGCUCAACCUGGGAACUGCAUUCGAAACUGGCAGGCUUGAGUCUUGUAGAGGGGGGUAGAAUUCCAGGUGUAGCGGUGAAAUGCGUAGAGAUCUGGAGGAAUACCGGUGGCGAAGGCGGCCCCCUGGACAAAGACUGACGCUCAGGUGCGAAAGCGUGGGGAGCAAACAGGAUUAGAUACCCUGGUAGUCCACGCCGUAAACGAUGUCUACUUGGAGGUUGUGCCCUUGAGGCGUGGCUUCCGGAGCUAACGCGUUAAGUAGACCGCCUGGGGAGUACGGCCGCAAGGUUAAAACUCAAAUGAAUUGACGGGGGCCCGCACAAGCGGUGGAGCAUGUGGUUUAAUUCGAUGCAACGCGAAGAACCUUACCUGGUCUUGACAUCCACAGAAGAAUCCAGAGAUGGAUUUGUGCCUUCGGGAACUGUGAGACAGGUGCUGCAUGGCUGUCGUCAGCUCGUGUUGUGAAAUGUUGGGUUAAGUCCCGCAACGAGCGCAAC